UCCGAAGACCGUUACCAGUUU
This 21-nucleotide non-coding RNA is filed under the name Caenorhabditis elegans. The record is from RNAcentral. Lineage: Eukaryota; Metazoa; Nematoda; Chromadorea; Rhabditida; Rhabditidae.